GCCGCGUUAGCUUAGUGGUAAAGCAAAGGUCUGAAGAACCUUUGAUGGGUGUUCGAUUCACCCACGCGGCACAA
Molecule: transfer RNA, 74 nt
Filed under: Candidatus Zambryskibacteria bacterium RIFCSPHIGHO2_01_FULL_49_18
Lineage: Bacteria; Candidatus Zambryskiibacteriota
Also listed under: 1 other name
Description: tRNA-Phe
Rfam family: tRNA
About the family: Transfer RNA (tRNA) molecules are approximately 80 nucleotides in length.
Source: RNAcentral